GAGGGUAUAGCUCAUUGGAAAAGCACAUGCUUAACAUGCAUGAAGUCCUGGGUUCAAUCCCCAGUACCUCCA
This 72-nucleotide transfer RNA is filed under the name Camelus bactrianus (Bactrian camel). It matches the Rfam family "tRNA". From Rfam's summary of the family: Transfer RNA (tRNA) molecules are approximately 80 nucleotides in length. Their secondary structure includes four short double-helical elements and three loops (D, anti-codon, and T loops). Further hydrogen bonds mediate the characteristic L-shaped molecular structure. tRNAs have two regions of fundamental functional importance: the anti-codon, which is responsible for specific mRNA codon recognition, and the 3' end, to which the tRNAs corresponding amino acid is attached (by aminoacyl-tRNA synthetases). tRNAs cope with the degeneracy of the genetic code in two manners: having more than one tRNA (with a specific anti-codon) for a particular amino acid; and 'wobble' base-pairing, i.e. permitting non-standard base-pairing at the 3rd anti-codon position. RNAcentral also lists the same sequence under 2 other names. The record is from Rfam by way of RNAcentral. Lineage: Eukaryota; Metazoa; Chordata; Mammalia; Artiodactyla; Camelidae.